RNAcentral lists this long non-coding RNA (1294 nucleotides) under Gallus gallus (chicken). RNAcentral describes it as "lncRNA (ENSGALG00010007760.1)". Lineage: Eukaryota; Metazoa; Chordata; Aves; Galliformes; Phasianidae. The record is from RNAcentral.
CUCUGCAAUCCGUAAGGUAGACCUAUAAGAUCCCUUCCCACUCAACCCAACCAUUUUACGUCCCUCUGACCUAUAAGGUCCCUUCCAACCCAACCACUCUAUGAUCUAUGAGGUCCCUUCCAACCCAACCCAACCAUUCCAUGGCUCCAUGACCGAUAAGAUCCCUUCCAACCCAACCACUCUACAGCUCUGUGAUCUACAAAGUCUUUUCCAACCCAACCACUCUAUGAUCUGUGAGGCCCCUUCCAACCCAACCCAACCAUUCUAUGCCUCCGUGAUCAAUUAAGAUCCUUUCCAACCCAACCAUUUGGUGGCUCUGUGAUCCAUAAGGACUCUUCCAAUCCCACCCAACCCAACCACACUACAGCUCUGUGACCCACACAGUCCCUUCCAACCCAACCACUCUACAACUCUAUGAUCUAUGAGGUCCCUUCCAACACAACCACUCUAUGAUCUAUGAGGUUCCUUCCAACCCAACCCAUGGCUCUUCAAUCCAUAAAGUCGACCUAUAAGAUCCCUUCCCACUCAACCCAACCAUUUUACGUCCCUAUGACCUAUAAGGUCCCUUCCAACCCAACCACUCUAUGAUCUAUGAGGUCCCUUCCAACCCAACCCAACCCAACCCAACCAUUCCAUGGCUCCAUGACCGAUAAGAUCCCUUCCAACCCAACCACUCUACAACUCUAUGAUCUAUGAGGUCCCUUCCAACCCAACCCAUGGCUCUUCAAUCCAUAAAGUCGACCUAUAAGACCCCUUCCCACUCAACCCAACCAUUUUACGUCCCUAUGACCUAUAAGGUCCCUUCCAACCCAACCACUCUGUGAUCCAUAAGGACCCUUCCAAACCCACCCAACCCAACCACACUACAGCUCUGUGACCCACACAGUCCCUUCCAACCCAACCACUCUACGACUCUAUGAUCUAUGAGGUCCCUUCCAACCCAACCCAUGGCUCUUCAAUCCAUAAAGUCGACCUAUAAGAUCCCUUCCCACUCAACCCAACCAUUUUACGUCCCUAUGACCUAUAAGGUCCCUUCCAACCCAACCACUCUGUGAUCCAUAAGGACCCUUCCAAACCCACCCAACCCAACCACACUACAGCUCUGUGACCCACACAGUCCCUUCCAACCCAACCACUCUACAACUCUAUGAUCUAUGAGGUCCCUUCCAACCCAACCCAUGGCUCUGCAAUCCAUAAAGUCGACCUAUAAGACCCCUUCCCACUCAACCCAACCAUUUUACGUCCCUAUGACCUACAAGGCCCCUUCCAACCCAACCACUCUAUGAUCUAUGAG